RNAcentral lists this ribosomal RNA (182 nucleotides) under uncultured bacterium. RNAcentral's name for it is "partial 16S ribosomal RNA". It matches the Rfam family "Bacterial small subunit ribosomal RNA", at positions 349 to 522 of the family's 1533-position model. The record is from RNAcentral.
CAGCAGUGGGGAAUAUUGCGAAAUGGGCGAAAGCCUGACGCAGCAACGCCGCGUGAGGGACGAAGGCCUUCGGGUUGUAAACUUCUUUUAACCGGGAAGAACCUCCCGCAUGCAAAUAGUGUGCGGGACUGACGGUACCGGUAGAAUAAGCCACGGCUAACUCUGUGCCAGCAGCCGCGGUA